Molecule: ribosomal RNA, 465 nt
Filed under: uncultured bacterium
Lineage: Bacteria
Description: partial 16S ribosomal RNA
Rfam family: Bacterial small subunit ribosomal RNA
Source: RNAcentral
GAUGAACGCUGGCGGCGUGCUUAACACAUGCAAGUCGAACGGAAAGGCCCUGCUUGCAGGGUACUCGAGUUGCCAACGGGUGAGUAACACGUGGGUGGUCUGCCCUGCUCUUCGGGAUAAGCCUGGGCAGCUGGGUCUAAUACCGGAUAGGAGCCAUUUUUAGUGUGAUGGUUGGAAAGUUUUUUCGGUGUAGGAUGAGCUCGCGGCCUAUCAGCUUGUUGGUGGGGUAAUGGCCUACCAAGGCGGCGACGGGUAGCCGGCCUGAGAGGGUGGACUGCCACACUGGGUCCGAGGUACGGCCCAGACACCUACGGGAGGCAGCAGUGGGGAAUAUUGAACAAUGGGCGCAAGCCUGAUGCAGCAACGCUGCGUGGCGGAUGACGGCCUUCGGGUUGUAGACGAAGUUCGCAAGGGACGAAGCUUGUUGUGACGGUACCUAGAGAAAAAGCAACGGCUAACUACGUG